UACGUAGGAGGCAAGCGUUAUCCGGAAUGACUGGGCGUAAAGGGUGCGUAGGUGGUUUGACAAGUUAGUAGCGUAAUUCCGGGGCUCAACUUCGGAACUACUACUAAAACUGUUGGGCUUGAGUGCAGGAGAGGUAAAUGGAAUUCCUAGUGUAGCGGUGGAAUGCGUAGAUAUUAGGAGGAACACCAGCGGCGAAAGCGAUUUACUGGACUGUAACUGACACUGAGGCACGAAAGCGUGGGGAGCAA
RNAcentral lists this ribosomal RNA (248 nucleotides) under uncultured Eubacteriales bacterium. RNAcentral's name for it is "uncultured Clostridiales bacterium partial 16S ribosomal RNA". It matches the Rfam family "Bacterial small subunit ribosomal RNA", at positions 524 to 771 of the family's 1533-position model. Lineage: Bacteria; Bacillati; Bacillota; Clostridia; Eubacteriales. The record is from RNAcentral.